Molecule: ribosomal RNA, 1140 nt
Filed under: Staphylococcus aureus
Lineage: Bacteria; Bacillati; Bacillota; Bacilli; Caryophanales; Staphylococcaceae
Description: partial 23S ribosomal RNA
Rfam family: Bacterial large subunit ribosomal RNA
Source: RNAcentral
CGAAGCGUGCGAUUGGAUUGCACGUCUAAGCAGUAAGGCUGAGUAUUAGGCAAAUCCGGUACUCAUUAAGGCUGAGCUGUGAUGGGGAGAAGACAUUGUGUCUUCGAGUCGUUGAUUUCACACUGCCGAGAAAAGCCUCUAGAUAGAAAAUAGGUGCCCGUACCGCAAACCGACACAGGUAGUCAAGAUGAGAAUUCUAAGGUGAGCGAGCGAACUCUCGUUAAGGAACUCGGCAAAAUGACCCCGUAACUUCGGGAGAAGGGGUGCUCUUUAGGGUUAACGCCCAGAAGAGCCGCAGUGAAUAGGCCCAAGCGACUGUUUAUCAAAAACACAGGUCUCUGCUAAACCGUAAGGUGAUGUAUAGGGGCUGACGCCUGCCCGGUGCUGGAAGGUUAAGAGGAGUGGUUAGCUUCUGCGAAGCUACGAAUCGAAGCCCCAGUAAACGGCGGCCGUAACUAUAACGGUCCUAAGGUAGCGAAAUUCCUUGUCGGGUAAGUUCCGACCCGCACGAAAGGCGUAACGAUUUGGGCACUGUCUCAACGAGAGACUCGGUGAAAUCAUAGUACCUGUGAAGAUGCAGGUUACCCGCGACAGGACGGAAAGACCCCGUGGAGCUUUACUGUAGCCUGAUAUUGAAAUUCGGCACAGCUUGUACAGGAUAGGUAGGAGCCUUUGAAACGUGAGCGCUAGCUUACGUGGAGGCGCUGGUGGGAUACUACCCUAGCUGUGUUGGCUUUCUAACCCGCACCACUUAUCGUGGUGGGAGACAGUGUCAGGCGGGCAGUUUGACUGGGGCGGUCGCCUCCUAAAAGGUAACGGAGGCGCUCAAAGGUUCCCUCAGAAUGGUUGGAAAUCAUUCAUAGAGUGUAAAGGCAUAAGGGAGCUUGACUGCGAGACCUACAAGUCGAGCAGGGUCGAAAGACGGACUUAGUGAUCCGGUGGUUCCGCAUGGAAGGGCCAUCGCUCAACGGAUAAAAGCUACCCCGGGGAUAACAGGCUUAUCUCCCCCAAGAGUUCACAUCGACGGGGAGGUUUGGCACCUCGAUGUCGGCUCAUCGCAUCCUGGGGCUGUAGUCGGUCCCAAGGGUUGGGCUGUUCGCCCAUUAAAGCGGUACGCGAGCUGGGUUCAGAACGUCGUGA